RNAcentral lists this ribosomal RNA (374 nucleotides) under uncultured organism. RNAcentral's name for it is "bacterial SSU rRNA". It matches the Rfam family "Bacterial small subunit ribosomal RNA", at positions 525 to 896 of the family's 1533-position model. The record is from RNAcentral.
CGGAGGGGUGCGAGCGUUGUCCGGAAUCACUGGGCGUAAAGGGCGCGUAGGCGGCCUGAUAAGUAGGGGGGUGAAAUCCUGCGGCUUAACCGCAGGGCUGCCUUCUAAACUGUCAGGCUGGAGCACAGUAGAGGCAGGUGGAAUUCCCGGUGUAGCGGUGGAAUGCGUAGAGAUCGGGAAGAACAUCAGUGGCGAAGGCGGCCUGCUGGGCUGUUGCUGACGCUGAGGCGCGACAGCGUGGGGAGCAAACAGGAUUAGAUACCCUGGUAGUCCACGCCGUAAACGAUGGGCACUAGGCGUCGGGGGGAGCGACCCUCCCGGUGCCGUCGCUAACGCAGUAAGUGCCCCGCCUGGGGAGUACGGCCGCAAGGCUG